This 256-nucleotide ribosomal RNA is filed under the name uncultured bacterium. RNAcentral's name for it is "partial 16S ribosomal RNA". It matches the Rfam family "Bacterial small subunit ribosomal RNA", at positions 524 to 776 of the family's 1533-position model. The record is from RNAcentral.
UACGUAGGGUGCGAGCGUUGUCCGGAAUUACUGGGCGUAAAAGAGCUUGUAGGUGGUUUGUCGCGUUGUUCGUGAAAUCUCACGGCUCAACUGUGAGCGUGCGGGCGAUACGGGCAGACUAGAGUACUGCAGGGGGAGACUGGAAUUCCUGGUGUAGCGGUGGAAUGCGCAGAUAUCAGGAGGAACACCGGUGGCGAAGGCGGGUCUCUGGGCAGUAACUGACGCUGGAGAAGCGAAAGCGUGGGGAGCGAACAGG